GACGUAGGGGGCGAGCGUUGUCCGGAUUCACUGGGCGUAAAGCGCGUGCAGGCGGCCUGUUAAGUCCCGUGUGAAAGCCCUCGGCUCAACCGGGGGAGGUCGCGGGAUACUGGCGGGCUUGAGGGCGGCAGAGGGUGGUGGAAUUCCCGGUGUAGCGGUGAAAUGCGUAGAUAUCGGGAGGAACGCCAGUGGCGAAGGCGGCCACCUGGGCCGUCCCUGACGCUGAGACGCGAAAGCUGGGGGAGCGAACGGG
Molecule: ribosomal RNA, 253 nt
Filed under: uncultured bacterium
Lineage: Bacteria
Description: partial 16S ribosomal RNA
Rfam family: Bacterial small subunit ribosomal RNA
Source: RNAcentral